RNAcentral lists this ribosomal RNA (496 nucleotides) under Lactobacillus acidophilus. RNAcentral describes it as "bacterial SSU rRNA". It matches the Rfam family "Bacterial small subunit ribosomal RNA", at positions 46 to 509 of the family's 1533-position model. Lineage: Bacteria; Bacillati; Bacillota; Bacilli; Lactobacillales; Lactobacillaceae. The record is from RNAcentral.
GCCUAAUACAUGCAAGUCGAGCGAGCUGAACCAACAGAUUCACUUCGGUGAUGACGUUGGGAACGCGAGCGGCGGAUGGGUGAGUAACACGUGGGGAACCUGCCCCAUAGUCUGGGAUACCACUUGGAAACAGGUGCUAAUACCGGAUAAGAAAGCAGAUCGCAUGAUCAGCUUAUAAAAGGCGGCGUAAGCUGUCGCUAUGGGAUGGCCCCGCGGUGCAUUAGCUAGUUGGUAGGGUAACGGCCUACCAAGGCAAUGAUGCAUAGCCGAGUUGAGAGACUGAUCGGCCACAUUGGGACUGAGACACGGCCCAAACUCCUACGGGAGGCAGCAGUAGGGAAUCUUCCACAAUGGACGAAAGUCUGAUGGAGCAACGCCGCGUGAGUGAAGAAGGUUUUCGGAUCGUAAAGCUCUGUUGUUGGUGAAGAAGGAUAGAGGUAGUAACUGGCCUUUAUUUGACGGUAAUCAACCAGAAAGUCACGGCUAACUACGUGCC